Molecule: ribosomal RNA, 410 nt
Filed under: uncultured bacterium
Lineage: Bacteria
Description: bacterial SSU rRNA
Rfam family: Bacterial small subunit ribosomal RNA
Source: RNAcentral
UCGAGAAUCAUUCACAAUGGGGGAAACCCUGAUGGUGCGACGCCGCGUGGGGGAAGAAGGUCUUCGGAUCGUAAACCCCUGUCAUGUGGGAGCAAGCAGCGAUGUAGAUAGUACCACAAGAGGAAGAGACGGCUAACUACGUGCCAGCAGCCGCGGUAAUACGUAGGGAGCAAGCGUUGUCCGGAUUUACUGGGUGUAAAGGGCGUGUAGGCGGAGUGAUAAGUUAGAUGUGAAAUCUGGGGGCUCAACCCCCAAACUGCAUUUAAAACUGUCACCCUUGAGUGAUGGAGAGGCAGGCGGAAUUCCUAGUGUAGCGGUGAAAUGCGUAGAUAUUAGGAGGAACACCAGUGGCGAAGGCGGCCUGCUGGGCUUUUACUGACGCUGAGGCUCGAAAGUGUGGGUAGCAAACA